Molecule: ribosomal RNA, 440 nt
Filed under: uncultured bacterium
Lineage: Bacteria
Description: partial 16S ribosomal RNA
Rfam family: Bacterial small subunit ribosomal RNA
Source: RNAcentral
CCUACGGGAGGCAGCAGUAGGGAAUAUUGCUCAAUGGGGGAAACCCUGAAGCAGCAAAGCCGCGUGGAGGAUGAAGGUUUUCGGAUUGUAAACUCCUUUUGUUAGAGAAGAAAAUGACGGUAUCUAACGAAUAAGCAACGUCUAACUCCGUUCCAGCAGCCGCGGUAAUACGGAGGGAGCAAGCGUUAUUCGGAUUCAAUGGGCGUAAAGGGCGCGUAGGCGGGAUAGCAGGUCAGAUGUGAAAUUCUAUGGCUUAACCAUAGAAUUGCAUUUGAAACUGUUAGUCUAGAGUAUGGGAGAGGUAGGUGGAAUGCUUGGUGUAGGGGUAAAAUCCAUAGAGAUCAAGAGGAAUACUGAUUGCGAAGGCGACCUGCUAGAACAUAACUGACGCUGAUGCGCGAAAGCGUGGGGAGCAAACAGGAUUAGAUACCCUUGUAGUC